This is a long non-coding RNA of Ipomoea nil (Japanese morning glory), 856 nucleotides long. RefSeq lists it as uncharacterized. The record is from RefSeq and is a predicted model, not a curated record. NCBI's taxonomy places the organism in Eukaryota, Viridiplantae, Streptophyta, Magnoliopsida, Solanales, Convolvulaceae. The transcript is spliced from 3 exons.
UCUUCCCGCCUCGCCCAUCUCUCUCUAAGGCUCUCACCACCGCCGUGUCUCCGUCUCCGCCGCUCUCACCCCGAUCUAUCUGUCCGUCUCUCCGGGGCCACUGGGCUAAACUGAGGAAUUGGGAUCAUCUCAAUCUGCAGUCUCGUAAUAUUACUUAUAUAAGAGCUCGUAUGCAGUGAGCUGACCUAGCUGCUGCGUCUGCUGCUGUGCUAUACGAUGCUGAUUAUCCCAAGGUAACAUUUUAAAGUACAUUGCGGGUAGACUUCUCAACAAGACAAGUGCAUCAUGGUUGCGGGACGAUCAAAAGGACUGUUGUAGACAAUAUGAGGUUAGGGAAUCUGAUUUAUACGGAGUCUGCUGAAGGGACCUAACCCAAGGAUGGACUUUUGUGUGCGGAAACGACCAAACACAAGGAAUUGCUAGCAUACUGUUGAACAGAAUGGUGUUGGUUUCUUUAUUUUUGCUCACAAUCGUUUAACGUAUGAUCAGUUUAAUGAGCUGGUAACAUUACAUUAUCAGUAUGGUCAUUAUUUUUCUACCUAUUACCAAAUAUUUUACUUAAUCUAGACUGGAAGUGGCACCUGUGAACACCGGUUCCCAUGAUCGUGGAAUGCAAAGUACAUGCUGUAUCCUUUUCUUGGCCAGCUUUUUUUGCACUCAAACCCCCUGUCCAGUAGAUGUUGCUUUUUUAUCAAAUGAGAUACCACUGUUAUUCUCCAACUGUAAUUGGAGUAUGUUAUUUCUGUCAUGGCUAAUUUAACCACUGACGAUUUAUACUCUUAUGAUUGAAAGUGCUUUUUGUUUUUUACCAUUUAUAAUCUGCUGAUUGAAAGUGCUUUUGUUUGUUUGUUUUUUA